UACGUAGGGGGCAAGCGUUGUCCGGAUUUAUUGGGCGUAAAGAGCGUGUAGGCGGCCAUACAGGUCAGCUGUGAAAACUCGAGGCUCAACCUCGAGACGUCGGUUGAAACCGUAUGGCUAGAGUCCGGAAGAGGAGAGUGGAAUUCCCGGUGUAGCGGUGAAAUGCGCAGAUAUCGGGAAGAACAUCGGUGGCGAAGGCGCUCUACUGGACCACAACUGACACUCAGGGACGAAAGCUAGGGGAGCGAAUGGG
Molecule: ribosomal RNA, 253 nt
Filed under: uncultured bacterium
Lineage: Bacteria
Description: partial 16S ribosomal RNA
Rfam family: Bacterial small subunit ribosomal RNA
Source: RNAcentral